AAAGGGGUGAGUAAGUAUCUAGAGUGUGCCCAGUCGUGGGGGAUAACGGCUCCAACGAGUAGCUAAUACCGCAUACAAUCUGAGGAUGAAAACGGGGGACCGGGGGGCCUCGGGCGAUUGGGGCGGCAGAUGGCCCAAUAGGUAAUUGGUGGGAUAGAGGCUUACCAACCCCACGAUCUGUAGCUGGUCUGAGAGGACGACCAGCCACACUGGGACUGAGACACGGACCAGACUCCUACAGGAGGCAGCGGUGGGGAAUUGGGGACUAUGGGCGAAAGCCCGAUCCAGCAAUGCCGCGUGCACGAGUAAGGCCUUCGGGUUGUAAACUGCUUUUGUACUGAACGAAAAAGCUUCUGCUAAUACGAGAGGCCCCUGACGGUACCGUAAGACUAAGAACCGGCUAACUACGUGCCAGCGUCCGCGGUAAUACGUAAGGUGCGAGCGUUAAUCUGAAUUACUGGGCGUAAGGCGUGAGCACGCGGUUAUGUAAUACAGAUGUGAAAUCGCCAGGCCCAGCCUGGGAACUGCAUUUGUGACUGCAUGGCUGGAGUACUGUACAGGGGGAUGGGAUUCCAAGUGUCCGAGUGAAAUGCGUAUAUGUGCAGAGGAACACCGAUAUCGCUGGCGAUCGCGUGGACCUGUACUGCCACUCAGGCACUAAAGCGUGAGGAGGUGAGGGAUUACAUGCUCAGAUACUCCACGUCCCCAACUCAUGUCAACUGGGUAGUUGGGAAUGAUGUUUCUCAGGAACGUAGUCUACCACGUGAAAUUUACAGACUGGGGAGUAUGGAAGUAGGUUCACAGUUUAUACACUUGAAUAGUACACGCGCACCCCACAGGACGCAGUGGUUUAAUUUUUAUUUCUCUCCUAAAACCUUACACUACUUCAACAUUGUAUGACACUUACCACAGUAGGAAUCGAUGUUCGUAUGAACCCUGAAACAAGC
RNAcentral lists this ribosomal RNA (947 nucleotides) under Delftia sp. JC240. RNAcentral describes it as "bacterial SSU rRNA". It matches the Rfam family "Bacterial small subunit ribosomal RNA", at positions 100 to 1039 of the family's 1533-position model. Lineage: Bacteria; Pseudomonadati; Pseudomonadota; Betaproteobacteria; Burkholderiales; Comamonadaceae. The record is from RNAcentral.